AUGUACCUUCAUGAGAAGGAAGGAGGCAAUCCGCGCCCGCCCCAAUACAUGCAAGCAUUCCAUGAAGUUGUUGAUGAUUGUGAGCUGCAUGAUCUUGGGUACCUCGGUGAUCCAUAUACAUGGCGUCGAGGUCGGAUCAGGGAACGUCUCGAUAGAGGGCUUGUGAAUGAUUUGUGGUCUGCCCGUUUCCCCCACGCGGCACUACAGAAUAUGGAGUUCAAUCACUCAGACCACAGACCGCUCCUUGUGGAUACUGAGUACUAU
This 264-nucleotide ribosomal RNA is filed under the name Triticum aestivum (bread wheat). RNAcentral's name for it is "partial small subunit ribosomal RNA". The record is from RNAcentral. Lineage: Eukaryota; Viridiplantae; Streptophyta; Magnoliopsida; Poales; Poaceae.